UUACUGACUUGUAUUUGUUGUCUUUCAACAUUUGCAGAGCAUGCAGACGAAUUCCAGUUCUAGUGACGACGUACCCCUUUCAACAACCCAAUCAUUGAGAUUUUCUCCAGCUUAGGAAAUGAAGCGCACCUCGUUGGACAUUUUUUCUUGAUUCUUGGCUUGUCUUUUAGUGUUGUUUUAUUUUUUUGCCAUUCUCUUACUUGCUUCUCAUUGAUAUAGAAUUCACGAGCAGCGGCACAAUUAUUAUUUGCUUCUGCAUAUUCAACAACUUUAAGUUUGAACACUGCUUGAUAAGCAGACCGUUUUCUUUUGAUUUCACCGUUCAUUAUAAAUACUAGUAUGAAAAAAAUAAUAAUUUAGUUAUAGAUUUUGUAGGACUUUAUAUAGGAAUGUCACCUGCUUUAUCACUGUCAAAUUAUUAUUGUUCUUUGUUUAUUUCAAAGCAGCCCUGUAGAUUGGCAUGUCUGUGGCAAUAACAGAACAAGAAAUGCUGUGAAAGAUUGCCUGUUUCUCUGCAUCUCACCAAGCUCACAAUGUGCUACUUUGAAUUCUGUGAAUCUCUUUCAUUUUGUUCCUGCUGGUCUGGAAAAAAUGUUAAGGACCCUCAAAGCAUCCAGGAUUUGAAUGUCAGCUAUUGAACUGUCCUGUAGGCCUAACAAUUCAGUGUAAUAUUAUUCCUGAGGAGGUGACAGAAUCUCACUUUCAGGUGUCACUCUAAAACAUAAAGGAUUUCCAGUAUGUAUAGACUUGAAAUUGUACUCUGCAAUCAUGAGAAAACAGAUACACCUCUACCUCGAUAUAACGCUGUCCUCGGGAGCCAAAAAAAUCUUACCGCAUUAUAGGUGAAACCGCGUUAUAUUGAACUUGCUUUGAUCCACCGGAGUGCGCAGCACCGCCCCCCCGGAGCACUGCUUUACUGUGUUAUAUCUGAAUUCGUGUUAUAUCGGGUCGUGUUAUAUCGGGGUAGAGGUGUAAAGGUGCCAGAGGAGAUCUGCUACCACUUCAACUGUUUAAUUUCCCCAAGAUGCAAACCCAGUGUAACAAGUGAAACAUGGUAACAUGAUUUUUUUUUAAGUAAUGGCAGUAAAUACAUGAUUGCAAUGUUUGCCUGAAGUUUUGUUACUGUUGUCAUUAUGGUAUGUUUCCAGAUACCAAGAGAAAAUAAAUAUUAAUCCUUCUCCCA
RNAcentral lists this long non-coding RNA (1183 nucleotides) under Chrysemys picta bellii (western painted turtle). RNAcentral's name for it is "lncRNA (ENSCPBG00000010572.1)". Lineage: Eukaryota; Metazoa; Chordata; Testudines; Emydidae. The record is from RNAcentral.